UACGGAGGGUGCGAGCGUUGUCCGGAAUCAUUGGGCGUAAAGGGCGCGUAGGUGGCGGGACAAGCGUGCGGUGAAAGCUCGGGGCUCAACCCCGAGUCGGCCGUGCGAACUGUUUUGCUGGAGCACUGUAGAGGCAGGCGGAAUUCCGGGUGUAGCGGUGGAAUGCGUAGAGAUCCGGAAGAACACCGGUGGCGAAGGCGGCCUGCUGGACCUUUUCUGACGCUGAGGCGCGAAAGCUAGGGGAGCAAACGGG
This 253-nucleotide ribosomal RNA is filed under the name uncultured bacterium. Its description in RNAcentral is "partial 16S ribosomal RNA". It matches the Rfam family "Bacterial small subunit ribosomal RNA", at positions 524 to 776 of the family's 1533-position model. The record is from RNAcentral.